Molecule: ribosomal RNA, 615 nt
Filed under: uncultured Russulaceae
Lineage: Eukaryota; Fungi; Basidiomycota; Agaricomycetes; Russulales; Russulaceae
Description: LSU rRNA
Rfam family: Eukaryotic large subunit ribosomal RNA
Source: RNAcentral
UAAGCGGAGGAAAAGAAACUAACAAGGAUUCCCCUAGUAACUGCGAGUGNAGCGGGAAAAGCUCAAAUUUGGAAUCUGGAGGUCUUUGGCCAUCCGAGUUGUAAUUUAGAGAAGCGUCUUCCGCGCUGGACCGUGCACAAGUCUCCUGGAAUGGAGCGUCAUAGAGGGUGAGAAUCCCGUCUUUGGCACGAAAUCCCAGGGCUUCUGUGAUGCGCUCUCGACGAGUCGAGUUGUUUGGGAAUGCAGCUCAAAAUGGGUGGUGAACUCCAUCUAAAGCUAAAUAUUGGCGAGAGACCGAUAGCGAACAAGUACCGUGAGGGAAAGAUGAAAAGCACUUUGGAAAGAGAGUGAAACAGUACGUGAAGUUGUUGAAAGGGAAACGCUUGAAGUCAGUCGCGUCGACCGAGACUCAGCCUUGCCUCGGCUUGGUGUACUUCUCGGCUUGACGGGUCAGCAUCGAUUUCGAUCCUCGGAUAAUGGCAAGGGAAAGGUAGCACCUUUUUAGGUGUGUUAUAGUCCUCUGUCGCAUGCGAGGGUCGGGAUCGAGGAACUCAGCACGCACCUCAGGGUGUCGGGGCCUUGGCCCACGUUUACGUGCUUAGGAUGCUGGCGUAA